AGUUUGUGACCUCGCCGGGGAAGAUCUGGGACCAGGACAAGCAGGGUCUCCUGAAGAACCUCG
This 63-nucleotide non-coding RNA is filed under the name Nephroselmis pyriformis. Lineage: Eukaryota; Viridiplantae; Chlorophyta; Nephroselmidophyceae; Nephroselmidales; Nephroselmidaceae. The record is from RNAcentral.